CGGAAUUAUUGGGCGUAAAGAGCUCGUAGGCCGUGUGUCACGUCUGCCGUGAAAACCUGCGGCUUAACCGUGGGCGUGCGGUGGAUACGGGCAUCACUUGAGUUCGGUAGGGGAGACUGGAAUUCCUGGUGUAGCGGUGGAAUGCGCAGAUAUCAGGAGGAACACCGGUGGCGAAGGCGGGUCUCUGGGCCGAUACUGACGCUGAGGAGCGAAAGCGUGGGGAGCGAACAGGAUUAGAUACCCUGGUAGUCCACGCCGUAAACGUUGGGCGCUAGGUGUGGGGCGCUGUUCACGUGUCCCGUGCCGUAGCUAACGCAUUAAGCGCCCCGCCUGGGGAGUACGGCCGCAAGGCUAAAAC
This 358-nucleotide ribosomal RNA is filed under the name Saccharomonospora sp. 42-162. Its description in RNAcentral is "bacterial SSU rRNA". It matches the Rfam family "Bacterial small subunit ribosomal RNA", at positions 546 to 900 of the family's 1533-position model. The record is from RNAcentral. Lineage: Bacteria; Bacillati; Actinomycetota; Actinomycetes; Pseudonocardiales; Pseudonocardiaceae.